This 253-nucleotide ribosomal RNA is filed under the name uncultured bacterium. RNAcentral describes it as "partial 16S ribosomal RNA". It matches the Rfam family "Bacterial small subunit ribosomal RNA", at positions 524 to 776 of the family's 1533-position model. The record is from RNAcentral.
UACGAAGGGGGCGAGCGUUCUUCGGAAUCACUGGGCGUAAAGCGUGCGUAGGUGGCUAUGUAAGUUAGAAGUGAAAGCCCAGGGCUCAACCCUGGAAUUGCUUUUAAAACUACAUAGCUUGAAUGUCGGAGAGGAUAGCGGAAUUUCCAGUGUAGCAGUGAAAUGCGUAGAUAUUGGAAGGAACACCAGUGGCGUAAGCGGCUAUCUGGACGACGAUUGACACUGAGGCACGAAAGCGUGGGGAGCAAACAGG